GAAAAAGUUCAUAAAUCUUGAAAAAAAAAAUCAUAAAAUACAAGACCAAAAUGGCUAAGUUUUUACCUUCUUUAGGGUUUGCGAUUGUCCUUCUAUAUCUCUUGUCAGGUAUGAGUUCAAUUAAUUUUUUUUUUUUUUUUUUUAUGGCCUAUUUGAUUGUCCCUUGUUUUCCCUAGAAGAUGGAAAUGGAAUUCAUUUUCUCACAAAAUGGCUUGUUUGAUAGUCUUUUAAUUCUAUGGAAUUGAAAUUCUACCAACUGCAGUGACAAAGGCUUGUUUGAUAGCCUUUUAAUUCUAUGGAAUUGGAAUUCCACCAACUGUUGUCACAUCAGCAUUUUCCUUCUAUUAAUGGAAUUUUAAUUCUCACCAAAAUGGUGAGAAUUUGAAUUCCAGCUUUUUUUUUUCAAUGGAAACAAAUUCUAAGAAUUAUUGUAAGAAAAUAUUUUCCUUCAAUUGAUAAUUUUCUUAUAAAACAAAGCAAAAACAAACACCAAAAGAUAAAUAAUUUUUUUGAUUUUUUUUUUUGGGUUUUGGCGAUGGAAACAAAUUUCAUCCCCAAUACCAGUAAAUUAUAUUCCUUUAAUUGACAAUUUUCAUGUAAAAUAAAGCCAAAUGAACAUCAAAAAACACUUUUAUUUUAACAUUUUUCACGUGAAAAUUAUACCAAUCAAACACAAUAAUUUACAAUUCCCAAGAAAACGAUUUCUAGACAAUUCAAUUCCCUGAAAUUCAUUUUCUAGGCAAUUCAACUCCAUCUUUGCAAUUAAACGGACUCUUAAUUCAAUAUACAACAAGAUGAGAUUGUGUUAGAAAAAUGUCAUAAAUGAAAUACCAAAAUUUAGAGGAAAAAAAAAAACUCUAAACAACAAAGAAUUCUGCAAUUUACAUAAAAAGUUAUAUUUUAAUAGUAGAAUUAAUGAGUCAAAAAAGUAUUUUAUCAAAUAUUUUAAUUUGUGAUAAUUAUAUGUGCAGGUUGUUGGGGUCUUGAGAAUACUUGUUUCAAAGAUUAUUUUCCUUACGAAAACUGCUUCGAGGGAGAGACUGAUUUAUGCUUCAAGUUUUGCAAGGGAAUUUACCAUGGAAAUUUUGUUAGUGCUUUUUGUCUUAGUAACGAUUCAUUCAAAAGCGUGUUUUGCAGAUGCGAUUAUAGAUGCAAUAUUGCAAAUCCUCCAGAGUUGGCUUAAAAUUUGAGAGACUUUCAUGAGUUCUGAAAUGAUUUCAAUUUUCCAUUUUGGGAAUAGAAUUGAAUUGCUAAUAAAUGGGGCUGUGCUUUAACUCAGAUGUAAAAGAUUUCUUAAUAUUUAUGAAUUCCUAUAAAUAUUAUGAAUUUGAAUAGAAUUUCA
Molecule: long non-coding RNA, 1342 nt
Filed under: Olea europaea (common olive)
Lineage: Eukaryota; Viridiplantae; Streptophyta; Magnoliopsida; Lamiales; Oleaceae
Description: long non-coding RNA (OEUR_LNC007341)
Source: RNAcentral